GUGAGGAAUUUUGCGCAAUGGGGGCAACCCUGACGCAGCGACGCCGCGUGGAGGACGAAGUCUUUCGGGAUGUAAACUCCUGUCAGUGGGGACGAUAAUGACGGUACCCACAGAGGAAGCACCGGCUAACUCCGUGCCAGCAGCCGCGGUAAGACGGAGGGUGCAAGCGUUGUUCGGAAUUACUGGGCGUAAAGCGUAUGUAGGCGGCAAGUUAAGUUCAAUGUUAAAGCCCACGGCUCAACCGAGGAGAUGCAUUGAAUACUGGCUAGCUAGAGGGUGUUAGAGGAAGACGGAAUUCCCAGUGUAGCGGUGAAAUGCGUAGAUAUUGGGAGGAACAUCGGUAGCGAAAGCGGUCUUCUGGGACAUACCUGACGCUGAGGUACGAAAGCGUGGGGAGCAAACGGGAUUAGAAACCCGGGUAGUCC
This 425-nucleotide ribosomal RNA is filed under the name uncultured bacterium. RNAcentral describes it as "bacterial SSU rRNA". It matches the Rfam family "Bacterial small subunit ribosomal RNA", at positions 354 to 796 of the family's 1533-position model. The record is from RNAcentral.